This 107-nucleotide unclassified non-coding RNA is filed under the name soil metagenome. RNAcentral's name for it is "partial internal transcribed spacer 1". The record is from RNAcentral.
GUGAACGCCCUCACGGGCUUAUACUAUUCCAAACCUCUGUGAACUGUGCCCUUCGGGGCUAUUUUACAAACAUGGUGUAAUGAACGGUCAUAUAUCAUAACAAAACA